CGGUUUGUACAUACCUAACUUAAUACGUUGACGCGCCGUGUCGUCAUUGUGGUGUCAAAUUAUUUUAUUAUAUUCCAGUUUAGCAAUUUUUAGCAGUGCACUUAGCAACGCGUACUUGUUAACACGCUAACAUUUGUGAACUUACAUAAUAAAGGUGCUCAAACA
Aricia agestis (brown argus) is the source of this 165-nucleotide long non-coding RNA. RefSeq lists it as uncharacterized. NCBI's taxonomy places the organism in Eukaryota, Metazoa, Arthropoda, Insecta, Lepidoptera, Lycaenidae. The transcript has 3 exons. The record is from RefSeq and is a predicted model, not a curated record.